UCCUACGGGAGGCAGCAGUGGGGAAUAUUGCACAAUGGGCGAAAGCCUGAUGCAGCAACGCCGCGUGAGUGAUGAAGGCCUUCGGGUUGUAAAACUCUUUUCUUAGGGAAGAAUAAAUGACGGUACCUAAGGAAUCAGCCCCGGCUAACUACGUGCCAGCAGCCGCGGUAAUACGUAGGGGGCAAGCGUUGUCCGGAUUUAUUGGGCGUAAAGCGAGCGCAGGUGGUUUAAUAAGUCUGAUGUAAAAGGCAGUGGCUCAACCAUUGUGUGCAUUGGAAACUGUUAGACUUGAGUGCAGUAGAGGAGAGUGGAAUUCCAUGUGUAGCGGUGAAAUGCGUAGAUAUAUGGAGGAACACCGGUGGCGAAAGCGGCUCUCUGGACUGUAACUGACACUGAGGCUCGAAAGCGUGGGUAGCAAACAGGAUUAGAUACCCUGGUAGUCCACGCCGUAAACGAUGAGUGCUAAGUGUUAGAGGGUUUCCGCCCUUUAGUGCUGAAGUUAACUCAUUAAGCACUCCGCCUGGGGAGUACGGCCGCAAGGCUGAAACUCAAAGGAA
RNAcentral lists this ribosomal RNA (557 nucleotides) under uncultured bacterium. RNAcentral describes it as "bacterial SSU rRNA". It matches the Rfam family "Bacterial small subunit ribosomal RNA", at positions 337 to 909 of the family's 1533-position model. The record is from RNAcentral.